Molecule: transfer RNA, 77 nt
Filed under: Candidatus Latescibacterota bacterium
Lineage: Bacteria; Pseudomonadati; Candidatus Latescibacterota
Also listed under: 1 other name
Description: tRNA-Arg
Rfam family: tRNA
About the family: Transfer RNA (tRNA) molecules are approximately 80 nucleotides in length. Their secondary structure includes four short double-helical elements and three loops (D, anti-codon, and T loops). Further hydrogen bonds mediate the characteristic L-shaped molecular structure. tRNAs have two regions of fundamental functional importance: the anti-codon, which is responsible for specific mRNA codon recognition, and the 3' end, to which the tRNAs corresponding amino acid is attached (by aminoacyl-tRNA synthetases). tRNAs cope with the degeneracy of the genetic code in two manners: having more than one tRNA (with a specific anti-codon) for a particular amino acid; and 'wobble' base-pairing, i.e. permitting non-standard base-pairing at the 3rd anti-codon position.
Source: RNAcentral
GCACCCAUAGCUCAACUGGAUAGAGCACCUGACUACGGAUCAGGAGGUUGAGGGUUCGAACCCCCCUGGGUGUACCA